CCUACGGGAGGCAGCAGUGAGGAAUAUUGGUCAAUGGCCGUAAGGCUGAACCAGCCAAGUCGCGUGAAGGAAGAAGGAUCUAUGGUUUGUAAACUUCUUUUAUCGGGGAAUAAAGGUAUCCACGUGUGGAUAUUUGCAUGUACCCUAUGAAUAAGCAUCGGCUUAAUCCGGUCCAGCAGCCGCGGUAAUACCGAGGAUUCGAGCGGUAUCCGGAUUUAUUGGGUUUAAAGGGUGGGUAGGUUGUUUUUUAAGUCAGCGGGUAAAGUUUGUGGCUCAAACAUAAAAUUGCCGUUGAAACUGGAAGACUUGAGUGUGUUUGAGGUAGGCGGAAUGCGUGGUGUAGCGGUGAAAUGCAUAGAUAUCACGCAGAACUCCGAUUGCGAAGGCAGCUUACUAAGCCAUAACUGACACUGAAGCACGAAAGCGUGGGGAUCAAACAGGAUUAGAUACCCUUGUAGUC
This 460-nucleotide ribosomal RNA is filed under the name uncultured bacterium. RNAcentral's name for it is "partial 16S ribosomal RNA". It matches the Rfam family "Bacterial small subunit ribosomal RNA", at positions 338 to 795 of the family's 1533-position model. The record is from RNAcentral.